RNAcentral lists this transfer RNA (73 nucleotides) under Stegodyphus mimosarum. It matches the Rfam family "tRNA". Rfam says of the family: Transfer RNA (tRNA) molecules are approximately 80 nucleotides in length. Their secondary structure includes four short double-helical elements and three loops (D, anti-codon, and T loops). The record is from Rfam by way of RNAcentral. Lineage: Eukaryota; Metazoa; Arthropoda; Arachnida; Araneae; Eresidae.
GCUUUCGUGGUGUAGCGGUCAGCACGCUGGGCGCGUAUUCCAGAGGUCCGUGGUUCGAGUCCCGGCGAGGGUA